AGGGUUCGAUUAUGGCUCAGGACGAACGCUGGCGGCGUGCUUCACACAUGCAAGUCGAGCGAAGCGAACGGGACAGCUUGCUGUUUUGUUUGACUGAGCGGCGAACGGGUGAGUAACACGUGGGUGACCUGCCCGAGAGACUGGGAUAACAGCCUGAAAGGGCUGCUAAUACCGGAUGAUAUCGUAUAGAUUUUUCUGUAUGAUCAAAGUGUUUAGCGCUCUCGGAUGGGCCCGCGUUCCAUUAGUUUGUUGGUAGGGUAAUGGCCUACCAAGGCGACGAUGGGUAGCCGGUCUGAGAAGGAUGGUCGGCCACACUGGGACUGAGACACGGCCCAGACUCCUACGGGAGGCAGCAGUGGGGAAUUUUGCGCAAUGAGGGGAACCCUGACGCAGCGACGCCGCGUGGGUGAUGAAGGCCUUCGGGUUGUAAAGCCCUGUCUGGGGGGAAGAUAAUGACGGUACCCCUGGAGGAAGCCCCGGCUAACUACGUGCCAGCAGCCGCGGUAAGACGUGGGGGGCGAGCGUUGUCCGGAAUUAUUGGGCGUAAAGGGCGUGUAUGCGGCCUAUCAAGUCGGCUGUGAAAUUCCUCGGCUCAACCGGGGGCCUGCAGUUGAAACUGGUGGGCUUGAGUGCAGAAGACGAGGGUGGAAUUCCUGGUGUAGCGGUGAAAUGCGUAGAUAUCAAGAGGAACACCGGUGGCGAAGGCGGCCUUCUGGUCUGUUACUGACGCUGAGGCGCGAAAGCUAGGGGAGCGAACAGGAUUAGAUACCCUGGUAGUCCUAGCUGUAAACGCUGGGUACUAGGUGUAGGGGGUUUAAAUACCUUCUGUGCCGCAGUUAACGCAUUAAGUACCCCGCCUGGGGAGUAUGACCGCAAGGUUGAAACUCAAAGGAAUUGACGGGGGCCCGCACAAGCGGUGGAGCAUGUGGUUUAAUUCGAAGCAACGCGAAGAACCUUACCACGGCUUGACAUCUACCGGAAGACUUAUGGAAACAUGGGUUGUUCUUCGGAACUGGUAGAACAGGUGGUGCAUGGUUGUCGUCAGCCUCGUGUCGUGAGAAUGUAGGGUUAAGUCCCGCAACGAGCGCAACCCUUAUCCUUAGUUGCCAUCGGGUUAUGCCGGGCACUCUAAAGAGACUGCCGGUGACAAACCGGAGGAAGGUGGGGAUGACCUCAAAUCAUAAUUGCCCUUUAUGUCCUGGGCUACACACGUGCUACACAUGGCCUGCCACACCGAGUCUGCAAUGUCCCGAGGCGGACCUAAUCCCUUAACAGCAGAUCUCAGAUUCCGAGUGAUGAGAGGAGUACAACUCGCUCUCGAUCAUGAAGUCGGAAUCGCUAGUAAUCGCGAAUCAGCAUGUCGCGGUGAAUACGUUCCCGGGCCUUGUACACACCGCCCGUCACACCACGAGAGCCGGCAACACCCGAAGCCGGUGAGCCAACCUUUUUAAGGAGGCAGCCGUCUAAGGUGGGGUUGGUGAUUGGGGUGAAGUCGUAACAAGGUAACC
RNAcentral lists this ribosomal RNA (1508 nucleotides) under uncultured Clostridia bacterium. Its description in RNAcentral is "bacterial SSU rRNA". It matches the Rfam family "Bacterial small subunit ribosomal RNA". Lineage: Bacteria; Bacillati; Bacillota; Clostridia. The record is from RNAcentral.